GACGAACGCUGGCGGCGUGCUUAACACAUGCAAGUCGAACGGCAAGGCCCUGCUUUUGUGGGGUGCUCGAGUGGCGAACGGGUGAGUAACACGUGAGUAACCUGCCCUUGACUUUGGGAUAACUUCCGGAAACUGGGGCUAAUACCCGAUCGGAGCUCCUGCUGCAUGGUGGGGGUUGGAAAGUUGCGGCGGUUGGGGAUGGUUGGGCGGGUUAUCAGCUUGUUGGUGGGGUAGUGGCAUACCAAGGCCUUGACGGGUCGCCGGCAUGAGAGCGGGACCGGCGACAUGGGGCCUGCGAGAGGCAGCAGAGGGGAAUGUUGGGCAGCGGGGGAGAGUAUGAUACAGUGGUGGGGAGUGUGAUGCAGCGACCUCGGGGGUGGAAUGCCGGCUUGCGGGGAGAGAACCGCUUGCGCCUGAUACGAACGGUGGGUGACGGUAACGGGUAAAGAAGCACCGGCUAACUACGUG
Molecule: ribosomal RNA, 468 nt
Filed under: uncultured bacterium
Lineage: Bacteria
Description: partial 16S ribosomal RNA
Rfam family: Bacterial small subunit ribosomal RNA
Source: RNAcentral